Molecule: long non-coding RNA, 1189 nt
Organism: Solea solea (common sole)
Lineage: Eukaryota; Metazoa; Chordata; Actinopteri; Pleuronectiformes; Soleidae
Exons: 2
Source: RefSeq, a predicted model, not a curated record
AUGUACUGUAGUAUUGUAAUGGAGGGUUGGUCUAACGGUUUGCAGGCCUAGUAUUCCAUGUAUAUUUUUUGUAACUGCAUGUUCUCUUUUUGUAGAAUUGAAGGACUGCCACAUGGGGGUGGGAGGACAGGUAUGUUCUCCCCACACCAAGAGACUCUAAUUGUUGAUAUGGUCCGUGAGAACAACGCCAAUAAACGGAGUGAAAUUCAGCAGAAGAUCAUUGAGGACCAUGUCAAUUUUGAGGGUAUCCACAGUGUCAGCCUCUCUACUGUUGAUCGUGUCCUCAAGCACAACAGACUGCGCAUGAAACAGCUGUACAGAGUGCCCUUUGAUCGCAACUCAGACAGUCAAAGAGCAAAGAUUCCAGUAUGUACAGAGGGUUUUUCAACUGGAUGCAAUGGAAAGACCCCAUGAAUACAUCUUCAUGGAUGAAGCUGGGUGUAAUCUCACCAAAAGGAGAAGGAGAGGCCGUAAUGUGAUUGGCCAUCGGGCCAUUGUUGGUGUCCCUGGGCAGCGUGGUGGCAAUGUCACAUUAUGUGCUGCCAUCAGCAAUUGUGGGGUUGUCCACCAUCAUGCCAACCUGGGGCCCUACAACACUCACCAGCUCCUCAUUUUCCUCAAUCACAUGCGAGAUGCUCUGUUAGGGCAGCAGGAUGAGCAUCACAUCUAUGUUGUUGUUGUUUGGGACAAUGUGAGUUUUCACAGAGCCCUCCAGGUUAGAGAGUGGUUCAAUAUGGACCAAGGUUUUAUCAAUCUUUGCCUUCCACCGUACUCCCCUUUCCUAAACCCCAUUAAGGGAAUUCUUCCCCUCAUGGCGGUGGAAGGUAUAUGAACACCAACCUUACACCAGGGCAAAUCUCCUGCAAGCCAUGGAACCUGCCUGUGGUGACAUAGGUGUGGAGGCAUGCCAAGCCUGGAUACGGCCUGCCAGAGGUUUUUUCCCCCGUUGCCUGGCACACCUGUGGCCUGUGAUGUGGGUGAAGUCCUGUGGCCUGACCCAGUACGGAGACAUGAUGAUGUGGCUGAGUAAUGCACUUAUUUGUAUAUUUUUGUACUUUAUUUUUACAUGGGCUUACUGUACACAAGUGGCAAAUGCACAAGAUUUCAGUUUUUUGUCCUUUUGUACAAGUGCUAAAUGCCCAGGUUUUUUGUUUUAGCCUACAGUGAACAAUAAACAUUUAUUUCUCCA